RNAcentral lists this unclassified non-coding RNA (560 nucleotides) under Hevea brasiliensis (rubber tree). Lineage: Eukaryota; Viridiplantae; Streptophyta; Magnoliopsida; Malpighiales; Euphorbiaceae. The record is from RNAcentral.
GGACAUUUGACAUCAAAGAGUGAUGUCUACAGUUUCGGUGUAGUUCUGCUUGAAAUGAUGACAGGUAGGAGAUCCAUGGACAAGAACCGGCCAAACGGUGAACACAACCUUGUUGAGUGGGCACGGCCACAUUUGGGUGAAAGAAGAAGGUUUUAUAAAUUGAUAGAUCCUAGACUUGAAGGCCAUUUUUCUAUAAAAGGUGCACAGAAAGCUGCACAGCUGGCUGCACGAUGCCUUAGCCGGGAUCCCAAAGUCAGACCUAUGAUGAGUGAUGUGGUCGAAGCCUUGAAGCCUUUGCCAAACCUCAAGGACAUGGCCAGCUCCUCCUACUAUUUCCAGACGACACAAGCAGACCGAGUUGGAUCAAGCCCAAGCCCUAAUACAAGAAAUGUCCUUAGAACGCAAGGAUCGUUCUCAAGGAAUGGACAACAACCACCACCAAGAAGCCUUUCGAUUCCAAAUGGUUCUCAUGCUUCUCCAUACCGUCAUCAACUUUCUCAGAAUUCGCCAAAUCCAAAUGGCAAACCAUAGAAUUGGAUUCUGCAGUGGUUUGUUUUUAC